CCGGCGCUGGCAGGAAGGCGGGGCCGGGCGUGCAGGGGACUCGUCCGGCCGCGGCGCGGGGCUGCACGGCGGGGGCAGCGGGGGCGGCGCCCAGUCGCCCUGCCUAGGGCUCCCGCGAGCCGCCGGACCGAGCCGGUGUCCUGCCUCCGCUCCACGGGGCCGUGGGCGACUCGCCGAGCCCCGCUCUUACCUGUGCAACCUGACUUCGGCCUCGCCACAGACCUGACCGGGAGGUGUCCCUGUCCCCAUGUUACUGAUGAGAAAACAGGCUCAGAGAGACAAAGAAACAGAGGCCCAGGGACCUGAAGUUCUUUCCGGUGUUUCCCACUGGACCGCGUCUUCUCCACCCUGAGGAAUGAGGCCAAGAACAAGCCUAUCUUCCUUUAGACACUGGCCUUCCUGCCUUCGUGUGCCCUACCCCUGAACCUCACUCAGGCAUUUGGUCCUUGAUAGAGUGAGUGAAUAAACAGAAGACCUCACCUAC
Long non-coding RNA from Nyctereutes procyonoides (raccoon dog), 484 nucleotides. RefSeq lists it as uncharacterized. The record is from RefSeq and is a predicted model, not a curated record. Lineage: Eukaryota; Metazoa; Chordata; Mammalia; Carnivora; Canidae. The transcript is spliced from 2 exons.